GACGAACCACACAAACGUUAUUCGGAAUUACUGGGCUUAAAGGGUGCGUAGGCUGCGCAGAAAGUUGGGUGUGAAAUCCCUCGGCUCAACCGAGGAGCUGCGCCCAAUACUACUGUGCUCGAGGGAGACAGAGGUGAGCGGAACUUAGGGUGGAGCGGUGAAAUGCGUUGAUAUCCUAAGGAACACCCGUGGCGAAAGCGGCUCACUGGGUCUCUUCUGACGCUGAGGCACGAAAGCUAGGGUAGCGAACGGG
Molecule: ribosomal RNA, 253 nt
Filed under: uncultured bacterium
Lineage: Bacteria
Description: partial 16S ribosomal RNA
Rfam family: Bacterial small subunit ribosomal RNA
Source: RNAcentral